RNAcentral lists this ribosomal RNA (634 nucleotides) under Trochus histrio. RNAcentral's name for it is "partial 16S ribosomal RNA". It matches the Rfam family "Bacterial large subunit ribosomal RNA", at positions 1796 to 2619 of the family's 2925-position model. The record is from RNAcentral. Lineage: Eukaryota; Metazoa; Mollusca; Gastropoda; Trochida; Trochidae.
UCGCCUGUUUAUCAAAAACAUGGCUCCUUGAAAAAUUGUAUAUGGGGAGUCGGACCUGCCCGGUGACUAGAAUGUUAAACGGCCGCGGUACCCUAACCGUGCAAAGGUAGCAUAAUCAUUUGCCUUUUAAUUGGAGGCUGGUAUGAAUGGUUUGACGAGAGCUAAGCUGUCUCUUUAGAAAUAUUUAAAAAUUAACUUUUGGGUGAAGAGGCCCAAGUAAGGCUGAGGGACAAGAAGACCCUGUUGAGCUUUAGUGUAAUAAUAAGUUGUAUAAGUUAAAUAAGAAUGUAGGAAUUUUAUAUUGCAAGUUUAACUUGAUUUAUUAAAUUAUAAUUUUAUUUUAUUAUUAAUCUUUAGUUGGGGCGACUAAGGAACAAUAAGAGCUUCCUUUUACUGAGUAGGUAGCUGGCAUUGGAUGUUUGCAAAUUUAUUGGCAAAUUACAUGAGAUCCAGUAUUGUACUGAUUAAAGGAAUAAGUUACCACAGGGAUAACAGCGUAAUCUUUCUGGAGAGAUCAUAUCGAAAGAAGGGUUUGCGACCUCGAUGUUGGACUAAGAUAUCCUAAGGGUGUAGAAGCUCUUGAUGGUUGGUCUGUUCGACCAUUAAAAUCUUACGUGAUCUGAGUUCAGACCGG